This 253-nucleotide ribosomal RNA is filed under the name uncultured bacterium. Its description in RNAcentral is "partial 16S ribosomal RNA". It matches the Rfam family "Bacterial small subunit ribosomal RNA", at positions 524 to 776 of the family's 1533-position model. The record is from RNAcentral.
UACGAAGGGGACUAGCGUUGUUCGGAAUUACUGGGCGUAAAGCGCACGUAGGCGGAUUUGUAAGUCAGGGGUGAAAUCCCGGGGCUCAACCUCGGAACUGCCUUUGAUACUGCAAAUCUCGAGUCCGAUAGAGGUGGGUGGAAUUCCUAGUGUAGAGGUGGAAUUCGUAGAUAUUAGGAAGAACACCGGUGGCGAAGGCGGCCCACUGGAUCGGUACUGACGCUGAGGUGCGAAAGCGUGGGGAGCGAACAGG